GCCGAAGUGGCGGAACUGGCAGACGCGCCGGACUCAAAAUCCGGUGGGGGUCACCCCCCCGUGUGGGUUCGAUUCCCACCUUCGGCACCA
This 90-nucleotide transfer RNA is filed under the name Thermoleophilia bacterium. Its description in RNAcentral is "tRNA-Leu". It matches the Rfam family "tRNA". Rfam says of the family: Transfer RNA (tRNA) molecules are approximately 80 nucleotides in length. The record is from RNAcentral. Lineage: Bacteria; Bacillati; Actinomycetota; Thermoleophilia.